Molecule: long non-coding RNA, 1372 nt
Organism: Carassius gibelio (silver crucian carp)
Lineage: Eukaryota; Metazoa; Chordata; Actinopteri; Cypriniformes; Cyprinidae
Exons: 3
Source: RefSeq, a predicted model, not a curated record
CUCCAGUGAGAACCAGGCCACACACACCGUCUCCACGAUGAAGAUGUUGUAGCACAUCUGAGAGCAUUUACCCUGAAAACAGACGAAUGGAAAGUUAAGAAAACUUGGGAUUUUGAGCGAAGGGGCAGCAAUUUUAAUUAUUCCAGUGACUGAUCUGAGCCGAGCCAAUGGGUGUCUUAAUUCAAUCAGAGAAGGAGCUGGUUUAACUCUAAUUGCCACAAAUUAUUUCUGGAAAAAGAUGACUUCUCCUGAAGAAAAGCCUUUGCUUUGGUUGAGCGGAACGGUUCUGAACAGGGCUCUUGGAGCUUGAUGAAUUUCAGCAUGGUGCUUAUGGACAGGUUGAUGGCUGUUAUCGUGACGAACAGCACCGAAAGGCAGGCGAAGAUCUUCCCCGGCAGGCCGGAGUGAGGCUUCUCCACCAUGUCUCUUAGCUUUCCCAUCCAGCGGCCGAGGCGAGACUCUCUGGUCAAACUGCUUUGGCUGUCAUCCUCAUUCUCCUCGUCCUCCUCUGCCACCCGCUCUAACUCGUUGCACUCCUCCACGCGCUGCAGGAGGCGUCUCCGGCAGCACCACUCCAAGCUCUCCUCCGGGACGCCCCAAUAGAGCAGCUCUUCUCGGAAGGACAGGGCGCACAUCUCGCGCAGAGAGCGCAGUUUCCCGGCGCGCAGGAAGGUGAGGAUGGUCUGGAAGGCGCAGGGACUGCGGUCGAAGAAGAACUCGUUGUGGACCACGUCGUAGUCGUCGCACACCCGCAUGAUCUCGUCGAAGCUGCUGCACAGAUGCAACUGGCCCAGACGCGAGAGGGGGAAGUCCUCCAGCGUGGUCCAGGGAAGCUGGUACCGCAGGCCGCCCACGUUAAUGAUGACGUGCAGCCGCUGGCCGCAGGAAGGCAGGUUGCCGUUGUCGUCCAGAUGGAGCGCAUCGGUGAUGUUGGGGUCGGUCAGAGGCAGGUGUUGCGCCCGUUUGUAAUAAACACCCUUGAGGGCCUCUCGUUCCUGGAUGGGGGGCCCGUUCAGAGAGUCGUCCGAGGUGCAACUUAAAGCACUGUAGUCGUAAUCCGAACCAUCGCCUCCCAGUAAAGUCAUCUUUAGCUCAGUGGCGGUCACAUGCCUGUAGCCCAGCGCUUCCUCUCAAAGAAUGACCUGCUCAAUUAAAGAGAGACGGCUGAUUAGUGAUCGACGUAUUAAGGCUUGUUCACUCCAAGAUAAUGAUAACUAUCAUUAACAUUCACACCAGCAGAGAAUAGUAUUCUGUUUAAGCACACAAUUUUUGUCGUCUGAUGCUUGAAAUGCUUGAGCUCGUUAAAAAUGGGUGGAUUCUGAUUGACUGUCAGGGUUUCAUCGGCUAAAAAAAAUAAAAGAUUUAAAAGUGA